ACCAGACUCCUACGGGAGGCAGCAGUGGGGGAUAUUGCACAAUGGGGGGAACCCUGAUGCAGCGACGCCGCGUGGGUGAAGAAGCGCUUCGGCGCGUAAAGCUCUUUCAGCAGGGAAGAAAAUGACGGUACCUGAAGAAGAAGCCCCGGCUAACUACGUGCCAGCAGCCGCGGUAAUACGUAGGGGGCAAGCGUUAUCCGGAUUUACUGGGUGUAAAGGGGGCGCAGACGGCGAUGCAAGCCAGGAGUGAAAGCCCGGGGCCCAACCCCGGGACUGCUCUUGGAACUGCGUGGCUGGAGUGCAGGAGGGGCAGGCGGAAUUCCUGGUGUAGCGGUGAAAUGCGUAGAUAUCAGGAGGAACACCGGUGGCGAAGGCGGCCUGCUGGACUUUAACUGACGUUGAGGCCCGAAAGCGUGGGGAGCAAACAGGAUUAGAUACCCUCGUA
This 445-nucleotide ribosomal RNA is filed under the name uncultured bacterium. RNAcentral's name for it is "partial 16S ribosomal RNA". It matches the Rfam family "Bacterial small subunit ribosomal RNA", at positions 330 to 792 of the family's 1533-position model. The record is from RNAcentral.